Long non-coding RNA from Tribolium castaneum (red flour beetle), 1418 nucleotides. RefSeq lists it as uncharacterized. Lineage: Eukaryota; Metazoa; Arthropoda; Insecta; Coleoptera; Tenebrionidae. The record is from RefSeq and is a predicted model, not a curated record. The transcript has 2 exons.
UCUCCAAGAUGGCCUCUUUUAAAAUGGAUUAUUAUUGGAUAACAUAGUGCGAAACGGCCCCGCCUCGCUCCUACGAUGAUGAAUGAUCGCCCGAUUUCGGAAAAAUGCAUGUUGCAUGACAAUUGCAUGAAAUUUCGCACCCAAACAUCGGCCCUCUCUCUCCAACCGCAAGUUAUGGGCAAUAACAAGUGGUCUCUUAAAGUAAUCUCCCACUAAAUCAUUGUGCACACGCGAUGUGUGUGCGGGAGAGAGACGGGCCGAGCCUUGUGGCGCACAACCAGAUGAUGAUUUAAGAUACGUGUUUACAAGAUGCAAGAGGUGUAAUUGUUUUUAAGGGCUGGAGCGGUGCAGUGAAAAGCGAUCGCGAGAUCUUCAUGCUAAACACUUAUUUGGCCAUAUAUUUUGGGACUGGUAGUCAAGACCGCAAACAGCUUUAUGGAAAAUGCUGGGGUGGCGGCACAUAAAUCAAUAACGCGGUGCCGCCGUCUCGCUCCCCCUCGCAUUUCGCCGCUUGUUCCUUCUCUCGAUCGCCCGAAUUGCUAAAGUUAGCCCCGAUAUUUUCCAAGAUAUAUCGCCGUUUCAUUUUCAUCGUUUAAUUCGUCUUUAAAACAAUCUGCGGCCCGAGUGACCAUCGCUUCGAAAAACCAUCGACUGCCGCGUAAUUGACUUGUAAAAGUUUAAUGCAUUCGGGUGAAUAAUAGAAGUGUAAGCUUUUAUUUGUAGUGGUAAUAAUAGCUAAUUUCCAUGUCGCAUUAAUAAAAUAUGUCGUAAUGUAGUAUUAAAUCCAUCCUAAUUACCUUAAUGUUUCGAUUAUAUAUUCAGAUUAGGUUUUAUAAUGUGAUUGCGUGUUUUUCCGAUACUGGUCAGCGCGAGGGAAUUUUAAAAUUGCCGCCUUUUAGGGGGCCAUUCUGAUUUGGGCCGAUCUUGUAUCGCUCCACCUCUAACACUUAGUUGCUGUCAAGCAACUGUCAAAGCUGCACGGCCCCUAUAUUUGUCAAGGCCCUCUGGCACCGCCUAUGUUCCUUAACUUUGAAGCUGAUUGGUGGACACAGGUGCUUUCCUCUCUAUGAUUAGUCAUUAAAACAUAUGAAUAAACAAGAUCCCUUGGAUACUAGCGACUCUUUUACGAACAACGGUAAGUGAGUGAACUAAAUAGUUUCCAUUGUUGAGGCCAACAAGUGAAGAGCUCCUCACUGAUUUACAACACCUGCUUGCACCCCACUGAAAUAUAGAGAAGCCACGCGGUUGCCUAUUCAUAACAUGGCCAUUCCAUCAUCACGAAAUUUAUUUCUUCGUACCUUACACACAACAGACCGACGCACCAUUCUUACCCCACUUACAAACAUUUAUACUGAAAUAUAACAAGUGUUGUAUGAUAUAUUCUAUUUGUUAAAGCGCCAAAUAAAAGAUUCAUUGAA